GCCCGGUUAGCUCAGUUGGUAGAGCAUGAGUCUCUUAAUCUCAGGGUUGUGGGUUCAAGCCCCACGUUGGGCG
This is a non-coding RNA of Bufo bufo (common toad), 73 nucleotides long. The record is from the annotation of a RefSeq genome assembly. NCBI's taxonomy places the organism in Eukaryota, Metazoa, Chordata, Amphibia, Anura, Bufonidae.